CAUCAGCUUCCGUUGAAGUUGCAGCUAAAAUGCAAUAAUCUACAAGCCAAAGUCCAUGAACCUGAGAAUCGUGUCUUGCUGGAAAAGGUUUUCUACCUCGUAGAAGAAACCUCAGAAUUUAUUAGAGUCGGCGAAUUCAGUCUCCGCCUCGGACUAUGACCUGAUAAAGAUGAUGGAGAUGGGACCAUAAAUUACAUACAUAGGUAUUUAUUGAAAAUUUAUUUUAAAUUACUAUAUUUAUAUCUAUGAAUUCUAAUUAUUUCAAGUGGGACUCAUAAAAGUCAUCAUUGUUAACUUCCUUUUUCUCUGGUGGGAGAUUGGUGUUCGACAAAUUUUUUCUCGGAUAACAGACUAGCGGAUCCAUUAGUGAUAGAAGAUCAUCAGCAGAAUUAGAGCAGAUAAAAAGUGGGAAAGGAAUCUACCAAGGUGAAUCUAGUCGACAAAAUUUGGCAAUAAUUCACAAGUUUGCAGGGCCAAAUCACUCUGUUGAUGUUUAAUUCACCUCAACUUUGGGAAAGGAACAGUGAAGUUCCUGGGAAAGUAGCGUGGGAUGACGAAGAGGCACGUAAGAUCCGACGUGGAAGGAGGACUUUUUGUGGUGGAAUAUGCGGAUUAAUAAUAAUAUAUAUGCAGGGUUGAAGUUGAAGGGGAGGAUUUGAGUGAAGCAUUGACAUGAAAGAGGGCUUUAAAUGGAGACCACAGAUUGGAGGAGAGCCAGAGGCACGUGAAGAGCAAUGAGAUAAAGUCUGAGGAAAGCGACUUAAUUCGCUUUUGCAGAUGGAUGUGGAUCAUGCAAGUUGGCAAGUUUUUUCUUUUCAAUUUUUGAUCAUGCAAGUUGGCAAGUUGAAGGACUUAGAUUAAACUAUGACACACGAAUUAAGAAAGUGAGAGGAACAGACGCUCCAAAGAUUCUUUUAUUCGCUCAAUUUGAGGAUUUAAAUUUGGCGAGUCAUUCGACUCCAUUCACUCA
Long non-coding RNA from Prosopis cineraria, 970 nucleotides. RefSeq lists it as uncharacterized. NCBI's taxonomy places the organism in Eukaryota, Viridiplantae, Streptophyta, Magnoliopsida, Fabales, Fabaceae. The transcript has 2 exons. The record is from RefSeq and is a predicted model, not a curated record.